UGGGGAAUAUUGCACAAUGGACGCAAGUCUGAUGCAGCGACGCCGCGUGAGGGAUGACGGCCUUCGGGUUGUAAACCUCUUUCGCCAAGGACGAAGCGAAAGUGACGGUACUUGGAGAAGAAGCGCCGGCCAACUACGUGCCAGCAGCCGCGGUAAGACGUAGGGCGCGAGCGUUGUCCGGAUUUAUUGGGCGUAAAGAGCUCGUAGGCGGCUCAUUGCGUCAACCGUGAAAUCCUGCUGCUCAACGGCAGGUCUGCGGUUGAUACGGGUGGGCUGGAGUUCGGUAGGGGAGACUGGAAUUCCUGGUGUAGCGGUGAAAUGCGCAGAUAUCAGGAGGAACACCGGUGGCGAAGGCGGGUCUCUGGGCCGAUACUGACGCUGAGGAGCGAAAGCGUGGGGAGCGAACAGG
RNAcentral lists this ribosomal RNA (409 nucleotides) under uncultured bacterium. RNAcentral's name for it is "bacterial SSU rRNA". It matches the Rfam family "Bacterial small subunit ribosomal RNA", at positions 355 to 776 of the family's 1533-position model. The record is from RNAcentral.